AGAGUUUGAUCCUGGCUCAGAACGAACGCUGGCGGCAGGCUUAACACAUGCAAGUCGAACGCUCGUAGCAAUACGGGAGUGGCAGACGGGUGAGUAACGCGUGGGAACAUACCCUCCGGUUCGGAAUAGCUCAGGGAAACUUGGAUUAAUACCGGAUACGGCUGAGAGGCGAAAGAUUUAUCGCCGGAGGAUUGGCCCGCGUUCGAUUAGCUUGUUGGUGAGGUAACGGCUCACCAAGGCGAUGAUCGAUAGCUGGUCUGAGAGGAUGAUCAGCCACAUUGGGACUGAGACACGGCCCAAACUCCUACGGGAGGCAGCAGUGGGGAAUAUUGGACAAUGGGCGCAAGCCUGAUCCAGCCAUGCCGCGUGAGUGAUGACGGCCUUAGGGUUGUAAAGCUCUUUCGCUCGGGACGA
Molecule: ribosomal RNA, 414 nt
Filed under: uncultured bacterium
Lineage: Bacteria
Description: bacterial SSU rRNA
Rfam family: Bacterial small subunit ribosomal RNA
Source: RNAcentral